ACGGCUCAGUAACACGUAGUCAACAUAACCAGAGGACGUGGAUAAACUCGGGAAACUGAGGCUAAACCGCGAUAGAACAAGAUACCUGGAAUGGUUUUUGAUCAAAAUCUAUAUGGCCUUUGGAUUGGACUGCGACCGAUCAGGCUGUUGGUGAGGUAAUGGCCCACCAAACCUGUAACCGGUACGGGCUCUGAGAGGAGGAGCCCGGAGAUGGGUACUGAGAAAAGGACCCAGGCCCUAUGGGGCGCAGCAGGCGCGAAACCUCUGCAAUAGGCGAAAGCCUGACAGGGUUACUCUGAGUGACUUUCGCUAAGAAAGUCUUUUGACACCUCUAAAAAUGGUGUAGAAUAAGGGGUGGGCAAGUCUGGUGUCAGCCGCCGCGGUAAUACCAGCACCCCGAGUGGUCGGGACGAUUAUUGGGCCUAAAGCAUCCGUAGCCGGUUUUACAAGUCCCCCGUUAAAUCCAACUGCUUAACAGAUGGGCCGCGGAGGAUACUAUAAGACUAGGAGGCAGGAGAGGCAAGCGGUACUCAGUGGGUAGGGGUAAAAUCCGUUGAUCCAUUGAAGACCACCAGUGGCGAAGGCGGCUUGCCAGAACGCGCUCGACGGUGAGGGAUGAAAGCUGGGGGAGCAAACCGGAUUAGAUACCCGGGUAGUCCCAGCUGUAAACGAUGCAGACUCGGUGAUGGAC
This 691-nucleotide ribosomal RNA is filed under the name uncultured crenarchaeote. RNAcentral describes it as "bacterial SSU rRNA". It matches the Rfam family "Archaeal small subunit ribosomal RNA", at positions 85 to 779 of the family's 1478-position model. Lineage: Archaea; Thermoproteati; Thermoproteota. The record is from RNAcentral.